UUUAUUUAUCUGCAUUAUUAUUCAUAAUUUUAGUUAACAAUUCGACUUUCAAAAUAUUAAUUUUAUUAUUUAAUUAAAAUUUUAACUUAUUUAAUUUUAAUCAAUCAGUAAUAAUUUAACUUUAAAAUUUAAGCUAAUUACUGUAGCUUAAUAAAUUUGUACGUAGCUGCUAGAAUUGCAAGUAGUCUACUAAUUAAAUUAUGUAAAAAUAAACAAUACGUUCAAAUUUUAUCGCUGAAUGACUUAAAUGAAAUAAUAAAAAUAAAUAGAUAGUAAAAUUAAAAUUUUAAAAGAUUGAAUAGUUUAUUCAAAAUGAUUUAUAGUUUGCAUAAUUAAAUUCAGUACGUUUAAUCGUGCUAAAAUAACAUAAACUCACGUGUCAACAACGUCUUAUUGGGGAUUCUCCAAUUCUCUGUAGCAUGCCAAUUUUAUAGUCAUCCAAAAAAUUAUCAAUAUUUUUAAUAAUAAAAUUUAAAAAAUUAGAUUCUAAAAAAUAACAUUAUAUUUUUUUAAAUU
Molecule: long non-coding RNA, 516 nt
Filed under: Ananas comosus (pineapple)
Lineage: Eukaryota; Viridiplantae; Streptophyta; Magnoliopsida; Poales; Bromeliaceae
Description: long non-coding RNA (ACOM_LNC022019)
Source: RNAcentral